RNAcentral lists this ribosomal RNA (579 nucleotides) under uncultured bacterium. RNAcentral describes it as "bacterial SSU rRNA". It matches the Rfam family "Bacterial small subunit ribosomal RNA", at positions 102 to 677 of the family's 1533-position model. The record is from RNAcentral.
ACGGGUGAGUAAUGUCUGGGGAUCUGCCCGAUAGAGGGGGAUAACCACUGGAAACGGUGGCUAAUACCGCAUAACGUCGCAAGACCAAAGAGGGGGACCUUCGGGCCUCUCACUAUCGGAUGAACCCAGAUGGGAUUAGCUAGUAGGCGGGGUAACGGCUCACCUAGGCGACGAUCCCUAGCUGGUCUGAGAGGAUGACCAGCCACACUGGAACUGAGACACGGUCCAGACUCCUACGGGAGGCAGCAGUGGGGAAUAUUGCACAAUGGGCGCAAGCCUGAUGCAGCCAUGCCGCGUGUAUGAAGAAGGCCUUCGGGUUGUAAAGUACUUUCAGCGGGGAGGAAGGCAGUGGGGUUAAUAACCUUGUUGAUUGACGUUACCCGCAGAAGAAGCACCGGCUAACUCCGUGCCAGCAGCCGCGGUAAUACGGAGGGUGCAAGCGUUAAUCGGAAUUACUGGGCGUAAAGCGCACGCAGGCGGUCUGUUAAGUCAGAUGUGAAAUCCCCGGGCUUAACCUGGGAACUGCAUUUGAAACUGGCAGGCUUGAGUCUCGUAGAGGGGGGUAGAAUUCCAGGUGUA